AGGGUCGAAGCUCUAGCGGCAGAGCAAUGGACUUUUAAUCCAGAAGGUGAGAGUUCGAGCCUCUCCGACCCUA
This 73-nucleotide transfer RNA is filed under the name Acidobacteriota bacterium. Its description in RNAcentral is "tRNA-Lys". It matches the Rfam family "tRNA". From Rfam's summary of the family: Transfer RNA (tRNA) molecules are approximately 80 nucleotides in length. Their secondary structure includes four short double-helical elements and three loops (D, anti-codon, and T loops). Lineage: Bacteria; Pseudomonadati; Acidobacteriota. The record is from RNAcentral.